CCUACGGGAGGCAGCAGUGAGGAAUAUUGGUCAAUGGGAGAGAUCCUGAACCAGCCAAGCCGCGUGAGGGAAGACGGUCCUAUGGGUUGUAAACUUCUUUUGUCGGAGAACAAAAUCAGGGACGUGUCCCUGACCGCGUGUACUUGAAGAAAAAGCAUCGGCUAACUCCGUGCCAGCAGCCGCGGUAAUACGGAGGAUGCGAGCGUUAUCCGGAUUUAUUGGGUUUAAAGGGUGCGUAGGCGGUCCGUUAAGUCAGCGGUAAAAGUGCGGGGCUCAACCCCGUCGAGCCGUUGAAACUGGCAGACUUGAGUUGGCGAGAGGUACGCGGAAUGCGCGGUGUAGCGGUGAAAUGCAUAGAUAUCGCGCAGAACUCCGAUUGCGAAGGCAGCGUACCGGCGCCGGUCUGACGCUGAGGCACGAAAGCGUGGGGAUCGAACAGGAUUAGAUACCCGAGUAGUC
This 459-nucleotide ribosomal RNA is filed under the name uncultured bacterium. RNAcentral describes it as "partial 16S ribosomal RNA". It matches the Rfam family "Bacterial small subunit ribosomal RNA", at positions 338 to 795 of the family's 1533-position model. The record is from RNAcentral.